Molecule: long non-coding RNA, 1150 nt
Filed under: Equus caballus (horse)
Lineage: Eukaryota; Metazoa; Chordata; Mammalia; Perissodactyla; Equidae
Description: lncRNA (ENSECAG00000058693.1)
Source: RNAcentral
GUCUAGAGCUGUGGGCAGCUUCUUUUUGAGGGGGAGUUUUGUUGCCAUCUACACCUAAGCCUCACUUCUGAGAAGCCGGGAGUAUAUGUGUUCCUAAAUCCCCAGGUUUUUCUGAGGCUCCCUCCUAAAUGAGAACCAAUGACCUUGGAAUGUCUCUGCUGCCAAUCUCCCGUGUGAACCUUGGGAUGUGGUAAACUGAUUGUUGGAGAUAUUGGGCUUUGAAAUCCUGAAGAAUAUCUUCUAUCUCAUUAAGACUAACAUUUGGUACAGUGAAGCCUGUUAAAGGAAUUUUAGAGAAUGAGUCUGUUUGGUGCUUUGGCAUUGAAAGAAGCUGAGGUGGUAAUAAGUUAAAACGACAUGCUCAGCUGAAGGCUUGAGAGGCAUGUGAGCUCAGUAGGAUGUGGUCUCAAGUUCAGUGAAGAGUUCAGGCACAUCUAGGUACCAAACUUCAGGUGUAGUUGGACCCGAGACCCAAGUCACACAUGGAAAUUCAGUGGAAAAUGACAAUGGAGAGGCUUGAAACUAUGAGGGAUGGAAAUUUUUCUAGGAGGUGCUUCUGGCUCUAUUCUGGAGUAGAAGAGUUGGGACUCUCAACAGCAUCAACACAAGAUUGUUGAGGAUUUGUGAUGUUUCAUAAAUUAGAGAAAUAAAAACAGAAGAACUGGAGACUGGGAUUGCAUGAGGUACAAGGACGUGGACUUUGUUGGAGAGUUGCCUGUUACAAAUGUGAGAGAAGGCUGCUCUUUUCUUGGUGCACUUCGCCUGGAGUCGGUGCUUGUUUGCCUCUUCCUGCCAUCUAGGGCCUAAGAUCUUGAGGGCUGUGAUUAGGAUGCAAGACUAGGGAAAAGGUAAGCAAGAGGUUCCUCAGCCUCCUUUUCGCCUCGGGUAUCUAGGUAAAGUCACUCACGGCUCUUUCCAGAUGGUGCACACCAGCUCAGAGGCAGAGACCCCAUGCAAAGUUCUCGUGGCCUAAAUCUUUUAGAAAGAAUUCGUAUUUACUUCCUUGGAGAAUCCCCUUGGAAUAUCUUCUUUGUGAACUUGAGGCAACUUUUGGUGACUGCUCGAAGACUUGGGGAUCUUGAUCUGGAGCCAUCUCUAUUUACCGACUUUCUACUUCCGUGUCAUUUUGCAGCCAGAUUUUAAAUAAGUU